RNAcentral lists this ribosomal RNA (490 nucleotides) under uncultured bacterium. RNAcentral describes it as "partial 16S ribosomal RNA". It matches the Rfam family "Bacterial small subunit ribosomal RNA", at positions 29 to 507 of the family's 1533-position model. The record is from RNAcentral.
AGUGAACGCUGGCGGCAGGCCUAAUACAUGCAAGUCGAACGGCAGCACAGUGGAGCUUGCUCCAUGGGUGGCGAGUGGCGGACGGGUGAGGAAUACAUGGGAAUCUGCCCAGUCGUGGGGGAUAACGUAGGGAAACUUACGCUAAUACCGCAUGCGCCCUUCGGGGGAAAGCCGGGGACCUUCGGGCCUGGCGCGAUUGGAUGAGCCCAUGUUCGAUUAGCUAGUUGGCGGGGUAAAGGCCCACCAAGGCGACGAUCGAUAGCUGGUCUGAGAGGAUGAUCGGCCACACUGGGACUGAGACACGGCCCAGACUCCUACGGGAGGUAGCAGUAGGGAAUAGUGGACAGAGGGCGCAAGCCUGAUCCAGCCAUGCCGCGUGAGUGAAGAAGGCCCUCGGGUUGUAAAGCUCUUUUGUCCGGGAAGAAAAGCAUCGGGCUAAUACCUCGGUGUUCUGACGGUACCGGAAGAAUAAGCACCGGCUAACUUCGUG